Molecule: long non-coding RNA, 639 nt
Organism: Fukomys damarensis (Damara mole-rat)
Lineage: Eukaryota; Metazoa; Chordata; Mammalia; Rodentia; Bathyergidae
Exons: 3
Source: RefSeq, a predicted model, not a curated record
GUAGCAGUACCCUGUCAUACCUGGGUGAUCUCCUUCCAAUGCAACUGGGGACCCACUGGAACCACCGGCUGAAAUUCAAAGCUGUUUUCCCAUCCUAUCUCCCUGACAUUUACAGGAAAAAGCUGGAUUCCCUGCAUAGUGAACUGCAAGGCACUAUCAACAGCAUGUAUUAGAAAAUGAUGCAGAAACAAACAGAACAUUAUUGAUGCCAAUGGAAACAGCACAUCCCACUGACCUGCACCCAAAUGACACUCAUCAAGAGGAGCCCUGGGGCAAAGAGACCCCUCAAAGCAAGCAGCAUAUCUGGGAAGCAGGUGUGGGCUGAGCAAGCAGAGAAGCAGGCAGAGAGCACCACGCUGAGCCUGCAGGUACCACCUUGCACCUUGCCUGGGUCUUUGUCAGUGUCUGCAGUCUCCACAGGGUCAUGAGCUCCUUUUCAAACACAACUAUUAUUCCAGUCCUGGGGUGAAUCAGAAGCAGGAGAAUAAGCAACCCUACUCAGAGCCUUACUAUCCAAUAAAGAGAAACAACACCCCAGAGAAAUCUUCCAACUAGAAGUCUGAUAGUAAAGCACAGCAUCUCUUCCUUUGGCUACUGGCCCAAAGGCACCUGCAUCAUCUCAGCUGAUUUUACAGAAUG